RNAcentral lists this unclassified non-coding RNA (203 nucleotides) under Hevea brasiliensis (rubber tree). Lineage: Eukaryota; Viridiplantae; Streptophyta; Magnoliopsida; Malpighiales; Euphorbiaceae. The record is from RNAcentral.
GUACAAGAUGAGUGGACAUGGGAGAGAAAAGGGAAUUUACAGCCUUAGCAAUUACCUGCAAGUGAAGGCUGUUGUGACUCCUUUGGAAAAGCCUGCUUGGCUUUAGGAUGGGUGGAUGAAUCCACAUUGCGUAACUUUUCUCCCUUUUCUUGUUCUUUUUGUUGUUCACAUUGUCAACAAUAAAUACAGAAGUCCAAAUUUCA